AUCUUUCUCUGCUCCGAUUGCAACGCUGCCUCGUUCAAAAAUCAUAACACCGCCGCGGCCGCCACGUUUACCAGCCGGAGCCUCAAAUCAUGUCCCUUUGUGGUGAUAAAGAGGACACAGCCUGGUGUGAAGCUACAUUUAUUACGGAAGGAUGCCAGCCGGGAUCCGAACACGUCCGAUAUCAUCCAAGAGAAUGUGGCAGCUGAAGGGGGAGAGUCCAAGAAAGAGGCCAAGGGUGAAAACAUUUAGCCACCCCCCCUGAAGUACAUGGCAUCAUUCAACCCUCUUGGUGAGCUGCAGGAAUGUGCUUCCCAUUGCAGUGCACCAGCUCCAUGUACUGAUUUUGGUGUGAACUUGAUGGGAUUGGAGGAAACUCGACUCGGCCAUGAAGCUCACCACAAUAUAACAUGAAAAGUGAAAAUUGCUGCACACAACAGUCUGUCGUCUGCACCGGGAGGCAAGGCAGCUCAAAGCCCAGGCUGUUACAAAUCCUGGGCAGUUUUUGCCCAGAGCCAGCAAUUUUUUAGAUCCAAUAGGGAUGGAUUUUUUCUGAGGUCAGGUUCAACAUGCUGCAAGAUGCCAAGAUCUAAGCCUAGUAGGAGAUAUGGGUUACAAGAGAGGAGGUUUGCUCUGGCCUUAUACUAUCAAAGUCCAAAUGCUAAUAGAUUUCUGAGCACAGUAUUUCACUUGUCUUCAGCUUCAACACUUCACUCAUGACUCAGGGGUAUUUCAGUACAUGUUGGCUGGAGCAAACAGACUCUGACAGCCCUGCAGCAAAGAGCACAGGCUUUGUCAAAAGAAGAGAAACUUCGUGGGAUUUGCCAUUAUUUAGUAUUACUCUUGUUACGCCAAGAAUUUUUUUCCAUAUACUUUGCCAAAUAUUGCAAGUAAUGCACCAUUGUUGGGCUUGCUUGUUAUAAAUCAGAUCUUGUUCAAUUAACAAGCUUUGGGUGUCUGCCACUUUCCAGUUGUAAUGCAAGGAAUCAUUUAUCUUCCCUGCUAGAUAUCACACGUAAUGCACCAUUGUUGGUUUUGCUUGUUAUAAAUCAGAUCUUGUUCAGUUAAAAAGCUUUAGGUGUCUGCCACUUUCCAAUUGUAAUGCAAGGAAUCCC
Long non-coding RNA from Eriocheir sinensis (Chinese mitten crab), 1112 nucleotides. RefSeq lists it as uncharacterized. The record is from RefSeq and is a predicted model, not a curated record. The transcript is spliced from 4 exons. NCBI's taxonomy places the organism in Eukaryota, Metazoa, Arthropoda, Malacostraca, Decapoda, Varunidae.